This 322-nucleotide unclassified non-coding RNA is filed under the name uncultured Ceratobasidiaceae. Its description in RNAcentral is "sequence contains ITS2". Lineage: Eukaryota; Fungi; Basidiomycota; Agaricomycetes; Cantharellales; Ceratobasidiaceae. The record is from RNAcentral.
AACGCACCUUGCGCUCCUUGGUAUUCCUCGGAGCAUGCCUGUUUGAGUAUCAUGAAAUUCUCAAAAUAAAUCUUUUGUUCGUUCGAUUGAUUUUAUUUUGGACUUGGAGGUCUUGCAGAUUCACGUCUGCUCCUCUUAAAUCUAUUAGCUGGAUCUCCGUGAACUCGGUUCCACUCGGCGUGAUAAGUAUCACUCGCUGAGGACACUGUAAAAAGGUGGCCGGGGUUGUGGAAUGAACCGCUUCCAAUAGUCCAUUGACUUGGACAAAAUAUAUUAUUUAUGAUCUGAUCUCAAAUCAGGUAGGACUACCCGCUGAACUUAA